This 274-nucleotide ribosomal RNA is filed under the name uncultured bacterium. Its description in RNAcentral is "partial 16S ribosomal RNA". It matches the Rfam family "Bacterial small subunit ribosomal RNA", at positions 523 to 796 of the family's 1533-position model. The record is from RNAcentral.
AGACAGAGGGUGCGAACGUUGCUCGGAAUUACUGGGCGUAAAGCGCGUGUAGGCGGACUUGUAAGUCGAUUGUGAAAGCCCUGGGCUCAACCCAGGAACUGCAUUCGAAACUACAAGUCUUGAGUGGUAGAGAGGGAAGCGGAAUUCCCGGUGUAGAGGUGAAAUUCGUAGAUAUCGGGAGGAACACCAGCGGCGAAGGCGGCUUCCUGGACACCAACUGACGCUGAGACGCGAAAGCGUGGGGAGCAAACAGAAUUAGAAACCCUAGUAGUCC